CGCUUGCGGUCUCCACGCAGAAUCCCUGCCCUGGAUGGCGCUCUGCACUCUGGGAUCUGUGGUACUCUAAGGGCCCCUAGCAGUCCCUGGCGUUCCGCUUAUGCCGGCGUCCCUGCAGCCAGCCCGCCUUGGUGAGAUGACGAGUCCCCCGGUGCCCGUCAGCAGUUUUUCCCCUUCUUCCUGCAGGUGUUUCCCCGAGGGCUGACGGAGUGAGGCGCGCUGAGCCCAGGUCGGGGCCGCAGGCCAUAGGGAAUAGGGUUGGAGUAGGCCUGUGCCCUUGGGGAAAUCGCAAAACACAAAAACAACCGAAUGAACUGAGCCUUGGAGGACGUUGUGCUAAUGGGUUUACUUUCAUUAUCUCGCACUCUUAUAGGCUCCCAGUCCAAAACCCAAGCUCUCUUAGACCUACAUGCAACUCAAGAAACCACUGAAUUCCUGUAGGAUUUCUACCAUGGAGUCUUUAUAUGAGCCUCAUCAUGCAUCAUGCAAACACAAGAGCUGACUUUCACACAGGGUCAGUAGGCAGCUACUUCCAUGGAAGAAGCUAUUUCCGUGGAAUAAUUGGAAAGAUGUGUAUUUCUUUAUACUUCAUGAUCCCUCCUACAUUACAGUGCUUGAAGGACCCAUUAUUCUGG
This 635-nucleotide long non-coding RNA is filed under the name Castor canadensis (American beaver). RNAcentral's name for it is "lncRNA (ENSCCNG00000004465.1)". Lineage: Eukaryota; Metazoa; Chordata; Mammalia; Rodentia; Castoridae. The record is from RNAcentral.